UUAUACAUUCCCUAUUUCUUUUAUAAUUAUUUUUAUUUUUAAGAAACGUAUCGCGAACGUUGUGUAUGAUAUGUUCCUUUCGCUGAUAUAAUUUAUAUGUAUAAUCUUGAAUGUUCCUCAUUUAUUUAAUCACGAUAUUUAAAUAAAUGUGCAAAACACUGCAAAGCUAUAACAAUAUUUUGUAAUUACCCGUUAUACACAAUAUACAUAAACAAUAAUCACAAAGAUAUAUUGAUAAAUAUUCUGAAAACGAGAAAGUAACCUUAUCCUUGUAUCUAAACUAAACUUCUAUAACUAUUAUGACUAAUAUAUCUAAAUUAAGAACACAUUCGUUAAUAUCAAAAAGUAGGCAAUUUUCGAAUGGAUCUCGUUUGGCAGAACCGGGAAGAUUAUAUAUAUGU
Molecule: unclassified non-coding RNA, 401 nt
Filed under: Bombus terrestris (buff-tailed bumblebee)
Lineage: Eukaryota; Metazoa; Arthropoda; Insecta; Hymenoptera; Apidae
Description: misc RNA ENSBTSG00005024769.1
Source: RNAcentral